Molecule: ribosomal RNA, 253 nt
Filed under: uncultured bacterium
Lineage: Bacteria
Description: partial 16S ribosomal RNA
Rfam family: Bacterial small subunit ribosomal RNA
Source: RNAcentral
UACGGGGGGGGCAAGCGUUGUUCGGAAUUACUGGGCGUAAAGGGUUCGUAGGUGGCCGGCUAAGUCAGACGUGAAAUCCCCAGGCUCAACCUGGGAACUGCGUCUGAUACUGGAUGGCUUGAAUCCGGGAGAGGGAUGCAGAAUUCCAGGUGUAGCGGUGAAAUGCGUAGAUAUCUGGAGGAAUACCGGUGGCGAAGGCGGCAUCCUGGACCAUUACUGACACUGAAUAGCGAAAGCCAGGGGAGCAAACGGG